Molecule: long non-coding RNA, 772 nt
Filed under: Olea europaea subsp. europaea
Lineage: Eukaryota; Viridiplantae; Streptophyta; Magnoliopsida; Lamiales; Oleaceae
Source: RNAcentral
AACACAAUGCUCACAAAAGGGUAAUGAAACCUUUUUGAGCCCUGGAAGAAGCUUUUGUUCUGAGAGAAUUUUCAAACCACGUUCCGACAUGUGAGCAAGCUUGCGAUGCCACAUCAUCGUUAAUUCUUCUACUGAACUUGUCGAUGCGACAAAUGCUUCUCCUUCUUGUAGUGUCUCUCCUUUAAGCAUGUACAAAUUUGCAGUUAUCUUUUCUGCUUUCAUCACCACAAGCGCGCCUUUAACUAUAUUCAUGAUCCCAUCUUGUAUAUGGGUCUUGCAUCCAAUGCUGUCCAAUUGUCCUAGAGACAAUAAAUUUUUCUUUAGGCCUUUUACAUGCCGUACCUCCUAGAUAGUACGAACUGUACCAUCAUACAUUUUCAAUUUGAUGGUACCAAUACCAGCGAUCUCCAAGGCAUGAUCAUUUUCCAUAAACACAGAUCCUCCUGGGAUAGUCUCAUAUUGAUGAAACCAUUCCCUUAUUGGUGUCAUGUGCCAUGUAGCUCCUGAAUCCAUAAGCCAGACAUCAGAAUAUUUCUUUCUGCCUUCAACAACUGUUGUUGCCUCGCUGUAUAAAAUUUCACCAUCAUCUGAGGUACUUGCUACACAACCCUGAGCUUUUGAUAUCUCAGGACCUUUUCCUUUAGCUUCUUCAUUCUUCUUGAGACUCCAAAAAUCCCUUUUUAAGUGCCCUUUCUUGCCACAGUAAUGACACUUGGCAUUUUUCUUACUCCUGGAUUUUGAUCUACUCUGAUUAUGACUCCCACUGGAGCCA